UUAAGUAGACCGCCUGGGGAGUACGGCCGCAAGGUUAAAACUCAAAUGAAUUGACGGGGGCCCGCACAAGCGGUGGAGCAUGUGGUUUAAUUCGAUGCAACGCGAAGAACCUUACCUGGUCUUGACAUCCACAGAAGAAUCCAGAGAUGGAUUUGUGCCUUCGGGAACUGUGAGACAGGUGCUGCAUGGCUGUCGUCAGCUCGUGUUGUGAAAUGUUGGGUUAAGUCCCGCAACGAGCGCAACCC
Molecule: ribosomal RNA, 245 nt
Filed under: Salmonella enterica subsp. enterica serovar Infantis
Lineage: Bacteria; Pseudomonadati; Pseudomonadota; Gammaproteobacteria; Enterobacterales; Enterobacteriaceae
Also listed under: 3 other names
Description: partial 16S ribosomal RNA
Rfam family: Bacterial small subunit ribosomal RNA
Source: RNAcentral